GCUGGAGGCCGCGGGAGACCCCGAGACGCUGCUCAGGGGCCCCUGCGGGGCUGCCGGCGCAGUUCGCGCCGGAAGGACGAGAGCGCUUGGCUUGGCCGGCGGCUCAGGGGCGCGUGUUUUGCAGAGAGCUCCGACCCGGGCAGGUCACACAGCUUCCCGGAACUGGCCCCAGGCUGAGGGCCGCGUGGUGGCCUCUCCCGGUCAGGGGAUGGAGCUGUGAACGCCCGGCGGGAGUGGCUUUGAGGCCGGACUGGCUCCCUCGCUGCGAGGUCUUUCCUCGGGCACAGGUAGCCUCCAGGAGAGCCGGGACCUUGUAUGUGAAUUUUGUUUAUCACUGUAUCCCCAGCAUAGCAGGAUGCAAGUCUUAUAAUAAGUGCCCCGAUGGCAUAUACUUAUAUUUACCUGCCUCACUCAUUUUGGGCAUGGCCAUGUAACCGGGUGCACAGAAGUGGGAGUGUACUGAGGCUUUGAAUGUUUGUUUAGCCUCUGGAGCUCCUGCCUACUCCAUGAUGCCACUUCUGCAGGCUCUCAGAACUGUCUGUCUUUGACAAGGGCUAUCCUUGUUGUGGGAGGCCCUCAGCUUUCCGAGGAGGUUGGAAAGAAUGGAGCUCAGAGAAAUGGAGGGGCCCCCGCAAGCUGCAGCAGCAGGAGGCAAAGGAACCAGCAGCAGGGCCCUCUGGAAAGAUCGGAGGAGGCAUGUAGCUGAGUGCUCACACAACGUGAGGAUGUCGCAGCUCCAAACCAGGGUGUUCUCUGUGAUGUCAGGUGAGCAGCCACUUAAGUGCCUCUACCUCCAGCGUAUCCAACACAGACACGCUGAAAGUGGCUGUAAAAUGCCUUUGACUCUUAUCUCUCUUGCAUCACCCUCUGAAAUGAAAUCUCAAACACUUUCGCAGGGUUUGAUGCAGAGAACAGUAAGCAGAUAGAGGUUCAGGCAGAAACAGAACAGGAGUCAAAAGCCCUGGAGAAAAGCAUGAAUGGGCUUGGAGAGGACAAAUAAAAUAGCAGAGACAUUUAUACGGGUCUCCCCUACCUCUCAGAACAAAACAAUUAUGAGAUAAGAGAGGCAUGGAUGGGAGGAAAUUCUUUCAUUUUUCACAUUGCAAGCUGGAGAGAUCCAAUAGCCUGUUUAUGAAGAACAAUAAAGAAGAUACAUGAACUCAGUAAAGAGGUUGUUACAAAUAUAUCUGGUGGUUUUGAAAGGCCAGGGUUUUCU
Molecule: long non-coding RNA, 1216 nt
Organism: Neofelis nebulosa (Clouded leopard)
Lineage: Eukaryota; Metazoa; Chordata; Mammalia; Carnivora; Felidae
Exons: 4
Source: RefSeq, a predicted model, not a curated record